RNAcentral lists this ribosomal RNA (301 nucleotides) under uncultured bacterium. RNAcentral's name for it is "partial 16S ribosomal RNA". It matches the Rfam family "Bacterial small subunit ribosomal RNA", at positions 509 to 807 of the family's 1533-position model. The record is from RNAcentral.
CAGCCGCCGCGGUAAUACAGAGGGUGCGAGCGUUAAUCGGAUUUACUGGGCGUAAAGCGUGCGUAGGCGGCUUCUUAAGUCGGAUGUGAAAUCCCUGAGCUUAACUUAGGAAUUGCAUUCGAUACUGGGAAGCUAGAGUAUGGGAGAGGAUGGUAGAAUUCCAGGUGUAGCGGUGAAAUGCGUAGAGAUCUGGAGGAAUACCGAUGGCGAAGGCAGCCAUCUGGCCUAAUACUGACGCUAAGGUACGAAAGCAUGGGGAGCAAACAGGAUUAGAUACCCGGGUAGUCCCUGUCUCUUAUAC